Molecule: ribosomal RNA, 486 nt
Filed under: uncultured bacterium
Lineage: Bacteria
Description: partial 16S ribosomal RNA
Rfam family: Bacterial small subunit ribosomal RNA
Source: RNAcentral
GAUGAACGCUGGCGGCGUGCCUAACACAUGCAAGUCGAACGGAGUUUUAUGAAGUUUUCGGGCGGAAUAAAACUUAGUGGCGGACGGGUGAGUAACGCGUGGGUAACCUGCCUCAUACAGGGGGAUAACAGUUGGAAACGGCUGCUAAAACCGCAUAAGCAUACAUUGUCGCAUGGCAGAGUGUGAAAAUAUUUAUAGGUAUGAGAUGGGCCCGCGUCUGAUUAGCUAGUUGGUAAGGUAACGGCUUACCAAGGCGACGAUCAGUAGCCGGCUUGAGAGAGUGACCGGCCACAUUGGGACUGAGACACGGCCCAAACUCCUACGGGAGGCAGCAGUGGGGAAUAUUGCACAAUGGGGGAAACCCUGAUGCAGCGACGCCGCGUGAGUGAAGAAGUAUUUCGGUAUGUAAAGCUCUAUCAGCAGGGAAGAAAAUGACGGUACCUGACUAAGAAGCCCCGGCUAACUACGUGCCAGCCGCCGCCGUAA